GGUUAAUUAAUAUAAUUAGUAUAUUUGGUUUCCAACCUCAAAGUCUCUUUAGAUUAACUA
RNAcentral lists this transfer RNA (60 nucleotides) under Asiopsocus sonorensis. Its description in RNAcentral is "tRNA-Gly". The record is from RNAcentral. Lineage: Eukaryota; Metazoa; Arthropoda; Insecta; Psocodea; Asiopsocidae.